CACAGAGCGCUGCUGGGACCCCGGUGCCUCCCAGUGGCCUCCAGUAUACUCCCAGUAUUCUCUCAGUCUGUCCCAGCUCCUCCCAGUUGGGGAAACUGAGGCACACGCUCCUCCAGCCCCUCCCAGUGCAUCCCAGUCCUUUCCAGUGAGUUCCAGUGGGGGAAACUGAGGCGCACAGAGCGUUGCUGGGACGCUGGUUCCUCCCAGUGCCCCCUAGUGCCUCCCAGUACCACCUAGUAUCACCCAGUACCCCCCCAGUCCCACCCAGUGGUGGAAACUGAGGCACACAUCCUCCCAGUUUCUCCCAGUACCUCCCAGUGCCUCCCAAUCACUCCCAGUAUCUCCCAGAGACUCCCAGUACAUCUCAGUAUCCACCAGUAUCUCCCAGUGCCCCCCCAGCGCCCUCCCGGUACCUCCCAGUGCCUCCCAGUCUCUCCCAGUGCUUCCCCAGUUCUUCCCAGUAUCUCCCAGUACCUCCCAGUUCUUCCCAGUUCCAGUGCCCUCCCACUCCCUCCCAGUAUCUCCCAGUGCCCCCCCCACAGCGCCCUCCCAGUCCCUUCCAGUCCCUCCCAGUAUCUCCCAGUGCCCCCCCCAGUUCCUCCCAGUCCCNCAAAUUCCCUUUUUAUUUGGCCCCAAAUCCCCAUUUUCGCCCCCAAAAUCUGCUCUUUUGGCCCCAAAUCUGCCCUGGUGUCCCCAAAUUUCCCCUUUUUAACCCUAAAUCCCCCCCCCCCAGUGUCCCCAAAUCCACUUUUUGGUCCUCCAGGUCCUCCCUUUGUCCCCAAAAUCCCCUUUUUUGGCCCCAAAAAUCCCCUCUCAUUGGCAUCCCCCAUAGUGGGCUCCCGUAAUGCUCCUAAUAGGGGCGCACUGCGGUGGCCCAAUGAAUGGGGAGGUCCCGUACUGUAAUGCUCCUAAUACAGGGGGCUCUGCUCCCGUAAUGCUCCUAAUACAAGGGCUCGUAGCAGCGCCUGGCUCCCGUACUUCUCCUAAUAGAAGCACUUGGCUCCUGUAUUUCCCCUAAUAGCAGCAGCUGGAAGUGUUCCCCCUAACAGUGGCGCGUAGUUGCCGUAUUCUUCCUAAUAGCAGGACCUGAGUCCCGAAUUCCUCCUAAUAGCAGCUUCUGGGUCCCGUAUUCCCUAGAAUAGCAGCAUCUGAGUCCCGUAUUCCCUAUAAUAGCAGCACCUAAGUCCCGUAUUCUUCCUAAUAGCAGCAUUUGAGUCCUGUAUUCCUCCUAACAGCAGCGCUUUUGGUACUGUAUUCAUUGUAAUAGCAGCACCUCUUAUAUCAAAUUCUUACUAAUGGCUGCACCCAGGUCCCGUAUUCCUCCUAAUAGCAGCACCCGGGGCCCAUAUUUUUCAUAAUAGCAGUACCUGUGUUCUGUAUUCUCCCUAAUAGCAGCACCCAAGACCCGUAGUUGCUGUAAUAGCAGCACUUUAAGUACCGCGUUUUCUCUAAUAGUAGCAUUUUUUAUACCGUAAUGCUCCUAAUAGCAGCACCUGAUUCCCAUAUUCCCCUUAAGGGCAACACCCAGGUGUCAUAUUCCCCCUAAUAGCAGGACCUGCAUCCCGUAUUCCCCCUAAUAGCUGCACCUUUUAUACGCCACUCUUCUAGUAGCACCCUUAAGCACCGUAUUCCUCCUAAUAGCAGCGCCUAUGUCCUGUAUUCUCCCUAAUAGCAGCACCCAAAUCCCAUAGUCCUUGUAAUAGUAGCAUUUUUCUUACCACAUUUUCUGUAAUAGCAUGUUUUAUACUGUAAUGCUCCUAAUAGCAGCACCCGAGUCCCAUAUUCCCGUUUAUGGCAGCACCCAGGUGCCAUAUUCCCCCUAACAGCAGGAGCUGGGUCCCGUAUUCCCUGUAAUAGCAGCCGCUUUCAUACCAUAUUUUCUCUAACAGCAGCGCCUGUGUGC
This is a long non-coding RNA of Numida meleagris (helmeted guineafowl), 1903 nucleotides long. The record is from Ensembl. Lineage: Eukaryota; Metazoa; Chordata; Aves; Galliformes; Numididae.